Etheostoma spectabile (orangethroat darter) is the source of this 179-nucleotide long non-coding RNA. RefSeq lists it as uncharacterized. The record is from RefSeq and is a predicted model, not a curated record. Lineage: Eukaryota; Metazoa; Chordata; Actinopteri; Perciformes; Percidae. The transcript has 2 exons.
ACGACAAACGCCGUGCAACCAAUAAUCAGUGACAUAACUCAAGCCCGUCUUUAUAUAGUUUUAAUAAACUGUCUGUAUACUUACAAAGGUCUCAAUGCUUCAGUUUACAUGUAGGGAUCCUCAUUAUACUACCGUGGAAGUGUGGUACUAUUUUGAGCCUUGUUAGUGGUAUAGAAAUA